UACGAAGGGGGCUAGCGUUGCUCGGAAUCACUGGGCGUAAAGGGUGCGUAGGCGGGUCUUUAAGUCAGGGGUGAAAUCCUGGAGCUCAACUCCAGAACUGCCUUUGAUACUGAGGAUCUUGAGUACGGGAGAGGUGAGUGGAAUUCCCAGUGUAGCGGUGAAAUGCGUAGAUAUUGGGAGGAACACCAGUGGCGAAGGCGGCUCGCUGGACCGGUUCUGACGCUGAGGCGCGAAAGCGUGGGGAGCAAACAGG
Molecule: ribosomal RNA, 253 nt
Filed under: uncultured bacterium
Lineage: Bacteria
Description: partial 16S ribosomal RNA
Rfam family: Bacterial small subunit ribosomal RNA
Source: RNAcentral